CCUCACCACUGCGGGGGUCCACAGCCACCAGCAUCUGUCAUGACUGAGUCACCUCCUCACGGACGAAGGCUUCUCCUCUUGCUCUCUUUCCAAGCCACUCUCUGUAGGGUCCCUGAAGAAGCAGCAGAUCCGCUCCCCACCCUGCCUGGAAUCCUGGGCCCUGCCCGGUGUGGUUCCCUGGGGACCUCGUCACAGGCUCUCUGUGACUCCCCGGAUCACUGCCAGUUUCGUCCCAGCUCCCAGUGCCCCUCUCGCCCAGGUGGCCCGUCCUCAGACCUCACCCUUUGCCCUCAUAUCUUUGUUUGGACACCACCUCCCAGAGCGGGCCAGGCCAGCUAGCCAGAUCCAGCAGCCGCCGUGACAUCACCCGCCACCUCCCUGGGACCUUUCCCUCUGCUGUUUGUGUCCUGACUUAGCUCCGCUCCCUCCUGAACGAGGAUGUCUGUCUUGAAAGCCGGCGCCCUUGCUCAUUUGCUUGGUACCUGGCACCUCGCGUGGUACCCGGCACCCUGUAGGUGCUCAACGAAUUACCCCGGAAUUCCUUAAGGAAGCGUCUUAGUGGCCCCUUUGCCCCGUGACAUCCUGCCCUCCCCAGGCCCCAGGCUCCUGCCUGCUCAGAGUCCCCCGUGCCCUGGGUGUCUUGGAGCCUGGGAACACCUGGCUCCUGACGACACUCCACACUCAUCAAGGGCAGAGCCUGGAGUGCUGGACCCGGGUGGACGCAGCACUCAGCAUCAGCCCCAGAGUUCACCAGCUCAGGUGAACGCCUGCGAGGAGCGCGGAGGGGUGACCUCAGAGAACUGGCGUCUGGGAGGUUCUUGGUUGCUUUGCUGUUUAUUGAGCACGAACACAACAGGUUGAGGAAGUCAGAUAAACACCCAAGCCAAGGAAACAGUAGGUCGGGGGCUGCUGAGCGCUGCGGGGAGAAGGACG
Molecule: long non-coding RNA, 933 nt
Filed under: Marmota monax (woodchuck)
Lineage: Eukaryota; Metazoa; Chordata; Mammalia; Rodentia; Sciuridae
Source: RNAcentral